AGACAAAAAAAAAAAAAAAAAAAAAAAAAGGAAAGAAAACAUAUUAUAUUGUGUGACUCCAUUCUCAGACCAGGGGAAAUUUGAUUUUAAAUAUAUCCCAUUAUUUGAUGUAUAUUAUGACCUUUUUUUUUUUCUUUCCACAACCCCACCCCAAAACACUUAAUACAUUUCAGUAACUGAGUCAGCUUCAUUAUUAAAAACUCUUAGCACAGCCAGUUCUAGUUAUUUUUCAGAGUGUUCCUAGAAAGACACAUCCUAAAGGAGAUUGUCAUGAAAGAUUUUGUAUUUCCUCAAAGGAACAAUAGAGCUUGCAUUUGUGAUCAAAGAUGGAACAGAGAUAAUCACAGAAGUGACCCAAAUGCCAUAAAAGCAAAAAUACAGCCAUAAACCUACAUAUUAUUUUAUCUUUAUUUCUAUUUAAUAAACAUUUUGGGCAUGUACAGAUAUGAAUCUUAGGUAGUCAUUAUGCUCAAACAAAUUUUUCAGGCAUUGAGGGAACACAUGAUUGGAGUGGACUCCAGAUGAACCAUGUAGUCAGCCAGCGUUCAGGAUACAUACGGGAACACUAGCUUUAUGGCAGCUGGAUAAUUUGGAAUCUCAUCCUUAUAACUUGGAUGCCUGGUCUGGCAUGGUAGAGUAGACCUGAUGAGCAGACUGACUUGAAAUCUGAUCUGAGGUACCUUAGUGAUCUUAUUGGAAACACAGAAUAACUUAGAAUACCUGGAGGGAUCAAAUUUUUUUUUUUCUACCUCUUUUAAACUAAAAUACUGUAAAUCUCAGUUGGGCAUGAGAGGUAGUGAAUUGAAGAGGGUUUGUGUCCGAGCUCUCUGGUCAAAGCUUUGAUGUACUUAUUCUGUGCUAUAAAUUAAAAGGGAAUUCGUUCUCUUAAUUGGUGAUUCUGAAGAGACUUGCUGAAAGUUGCCCAGUUUGUAAUUAAGCUUUGGAUCUAAUGUUCUUUUCUUCAUUUUCUAUACUUUGAUAUUAGAUAGCUGCUUGUAUGACUAUACAUUAUGAAAUAAUUGGAUACAUGUUAAAAAUGAAAACUAAACUCUGCAUUAAGUAAAAUUAGUGAAGAGGCAAAAGGUAGGGGUGGCCUCUGUGAAGCAGGUAUGAGAAAAGCUCCAUGAAGAUAUGAUUACAUUUGUUUGAUUUUUUUUUAAAUUGCAACAUGUUUAGAUGGAUAUUUAUAAGAAGGUGGAAUAGACCUCUUUAAAAUAGAAAGUACAGGAGCUUACAAAUCAUAUAGCACUUGCAAUCUCCUCCCCUCUUCUUAUCACUUUUAUGCCAGGAAGGAUUAAGAAAUCUGAAUAUUUGGAGACAAAGCAGUGUGAGAUGUAAUUGCCCAAUACUGAAGGAGAGUUGAGCCAUAGCACACACCAGAGUAGGGAUGCUAUAACCAGUUAUGCAGGCGGAGACACAGUGUGGUUCCUAUGUGUGAGUAUCUGCUGUUGGUCAGUGGCGGCCUUCCAAAGGCUUAAGUGAUUAUGAUGCUUGAAAACAUGUUGGGUUCAAGGAUUUAUAAUCUAUUUUAAAGGCAGUAAAUUCAAGGUUAAAUAGAGUGCACUGGUGUGUACCUUAGAUAUUAGUUCUUUAAAUCUUUCUCCAAAUGGUAGUUUCUCUAGAAUUUGAGACAUGAACACUAGGUAAUUUAGUAUUAGGCAAAUAUUUAAACAGUUUAAAUGAGUUUAUUGCAUCCCGGCUCUAUUACUUACUAGCUGUGUAAGUAACCUUAGGCAAAUUAUUUGAAUUUUUUGCGACUUAAUUUUCUCGUCUAUAAAAGACAUUUAACAAUGGUUUCUACCUCUUAGGGUUUUUGUGAAUAUUAAAUGAGGUAACAUAUGUGAAGUACUUAGAAUCGUUUCUAGCAUAUAGUAACACUAUAUACGUGUUAGCUGUUAUGACAGUGAUAAUGAUGUUCUCCUCCUCCUCCUCUUUCUCCUUUUCCUCCUGCUAACAUUUGUAGAAGUGUGAACUAUCUCUCAAUUCAUCUACUCGCUUCAUCUGAGAAGAGCCAGUCUUCCUGACCAGUAUUUUACAACCCAAGAUACCCACUUAGGGCCAACCAAUAUGCUACCAGCUUUGUGCUUAGGUUAUUUCCAACCAAUCACUUAAAAGCAGGACUCAAAAUUCAACUUCAGUUCAGUAAUGGUCAUUGUUUUUCUCUGGUCAUCCCUAAGGUUUAUUUAUUACUAGACGCAUCAGUAUGACCCUCUCAUAACAUUUUUGUUUCCUGAGAAAUGGAUUUUUAAUAAACCAUUAUCACAACAGCAUUAUUAUCACUAUCCAUGGUGUAUUAAUUCAACCACGUCUGUGGCCCUCUAAUUUAUUUAUAGUAUUGUGAUAGAAGUCAUGGGGAAUACAAAGAGGGCAAAAAGGAAAAAAUAUAUAUAACUUAGUUGGGAAGACAUAACAAAUGUGUAUCAAACGUUAAACAGCAUUAAGAAAAAACACUAGUAAAGAGCCAAGGGAGGUUAGAGUAAGGAAACAGAAUGCCUGCCCCAAGUUUUGGGGCAGAAAUAGAAAUAUAGAAGGCAGGAUCUCAAUACACAGAAAGGAACAGUGCAGGCCGAAUGGUGGAGGAAGAAUAUCUAUGGUGCCUUCAGAGAAACCAUGAGCAAGCUGGUUUCACUGGAAAAGAGAGGUGCUGUUGAGAACUAAUAGGAGAGCAAGUUGGUAAGUUUGGAAGAUAGACAAUUACGUGGAAAGAAAUAAAAUUCUGUUCACUGCAACAACUAAUGUCUACAACCUAUCAAAUUAAUACAUGUAUUAAGCACUGAUAAUACCAGCUAAAUCUCAGUCAGAAGCUAAUGAACUGGAGAACAUCAAGGACCUAGUUGCAGAAGCAUAUCAGAGCUGCUGGCCCUGAAAAACCCUGAAAGAGCCGGAAAUUAAGAAUUUCAUCUUUGGACUCAGCCAAACUUAGACAGACUUGGUUUUAAACUCAGUUUAGCUGCUUACUAGUUGUAUUAGUGGAAACAUUAAUUAAUUCUCUGUACCUCAAUUUCCUCAUCUGUAAAGUGGUGAUACGAUUAAUUUGAAGAUGGCACCUUUGAAAUGUGUAAGGAUUGAAUGAAAUGGGUAAUUUAUGUGAAGGUCUUACAAAUUAAAACAUAUAGUGAGUACUUACUUAAUGGUCACUAAUAUUAACAGCAACAGAGUAUGUUUCAGUGAGACAGAAUAAGUUCAAUUUAACUUUUUUUCAUAUUGAGAUGCCAUGUAAAAUGUUAACUAAUGUUCCACUUCUUUAAGAAAAAGUUGGAAACACAUUCAUACUUAUUUUUAACCUUACUACUGUGAAAUGACAGUGCUUCUAAUUCUGGCUGUGAAAACUAGUAAUCCUUUUAAAAGGAUUAAAUUGUGAAUAAACACAUCAGGAAAGAACUUAAAUCUAGUGUUUCCUGACUUCUUGUUUUGGUUCUGAUUAAUUAAAUUUUUUUUCAGAAAGGGUAGAAACCAAGAGUAGGUACAAUUGAAGAGUUAAUCAGAAAAUUAAAUAAGGGUACUCAUUAACCAUGUGUUUUAGUAAUAGAGGUUUUACCGUAUCGGGAGUUCCCACUUGUUCUUUUUCUGCAAAUGUGACACUCAGUUUUAUUUUUAAAUGCUGACAUAAAUUGAAAGUCUUUUAUAACCUCUGAAGCCUGGUUCUCAAAGUGCAGUCCAUGGAUCCUUGGAGGCUCCCAAGGUCCUUUUGGGGGAUCGAUGAGAUCAAAACUAUUCUCAUAAUACUAAGAUGUAAUUGCCUUUUUUGAGUGUGUUGACACUUGCUCUGAUGGUGCAGAAGCAAUGGUGGGGAAAGCUGUGGGAGCCUUAGCUUGAAUUGAGUUAGUGGCACUCAACUGUCCUAGAAGUCAUUGUAUCCUUCACCUCCACAUACAGUAAAAAAGAAUAUCCCUGAUGAAGCAGUAAAAAUUACUAAUUUUAUGAAAGCUUGACCUUGAGUUACAUGUUUUUAAAAAUAGUCUGUGUGAAGGGGAAUUACAAAUAAAGCAUUUUUGCUACAUACGAUUACUUGUCUCAAGGAAGAGGACUGGGGAGAUUGAGUUAAACUAUAGUUAUUUAGACUUGGGUAUUUGGCAGACAUUUUCUGGAAAGCAAUGAGCCUGUCAUUUUAAGAGAAACAACGCACAGUGAUAAAAUUAAAGAUUUCAAGUGAAAAUAUGAAUUUUUUAAAAACUUGCAUCUUCCUCUGUGAACUUGACAAAUUCCUAAUGAACCAUUGACGACUCUUAUGAUAUUGGUGGUGAUACUAAUGAAUGUGACUUUUUUGAAACUGAAUAAUGAAAUGUGUCAGCAUUUGGAAAAGCACUGCAUAACUCAGUGAACUCAUAUUUUCCAAAUGUCCAUUGCAUGAUUUUAAAAAAACAUGAGUGUCUAAAAGAUCCAUUCAAAGUGCAAGAUUGGCUAAUGAGUUUUAAUGUAACAGAGUGUGAGAAGUUCCUUGAUAUGGUUUCAGAUUCCACAAUCCAGUUUAACCAUUAAGAAACCACCACUUGUUGAGUUUUGGUCUAGUAUCAAAGGAGAAUAACCAUAAUUAUCUGAAAAGACUAUUAAAAUACUUUUCCUUUUACAACAAUAUGUCUACAUGAGGCUAUUUUAUUUCCCAUAUACUUCAACACAAACAAUGGAUCACAACAUGAAUGAAGCAGCAAAUGUGAGAAGCCAGUUGUUGUCUAUUUAGCCAAAACUUUAGAUUUGCAAAAUUCUUUUCAAAAUUUUUUGCUGUGGAAAAUGUAGUUAUUUUCACAAAAAUAUGUUAUGUUAACAUGUGAUGGAUUUAUUAAGUGAAUUCAUAAGAUUCUUUAAAAAAUAUUAUCAGUUUUAUUUUUAAGAGUUUAAAGUGGUUCUGACAUUAUGAACUUUGAGAACCACACCUCUGAUGUGGUACAAUUAAAUUUUCCUAUGAAUUUUUAUGAUUUACCAAUGCAUGAGAUUGCCAUCUCGUGACAAAAUAGGGAAAUGCAGGUAUUUUUGAAAAGCUCAGCUUUAAGGACUUGGAGCGAUUUCUAAUGACUACUUGUUGGAAAUUUAUCAAGAGAAAGAUGUAAGUUCAGAUUUCCAAGGGCUAUGUCUUAAAAUAUUAUGUGCCAAAAAUAUUAAUUUUCAGAAAGCAAGCAAAAAACAGUUAAUUAAAUGGGUAUUUUUAAAGGGCUGACAUUGGUUUGGGGCCAGUCUUCUGUUAAGAACACGUUUAGUUUUUAUGUUCAGUAUGUAUAUUUCCUAUUACACAGAGCCCCUUUGUAUGUGAUGUUAUAUACUGCUCGAAUGUGUAUUUACUGUUCAAAACACUGAUAAAUGUUUGUGGUGAUAUUCUGGUGGCAUACAGUAGUCCCCCUUUAUCCUCAGGGAAUGUAUUCCAAGAUCCCCAGUGGAUGUCUGAUUCUGAGGAUAGUAUGGAACCCUAUACAGACUGUUUUCCCUAUACAUUUAUACCUACGAUAAAGCUUAACUUAUAAAUUAGGCACAAUAAGAGAUUAACAACAACAAUAAAACAGUUAUAUCAAUAUGCUGUAAUAAAAGGUGAAUGUGGCUUCUGUCUCCAAAUAUCUUAUUGUACUGUACUCACCAAUUUUCAGACCCCCAUUGGCCUAGGGUGACUGAAACCGUUGAAAGUGAAACUGCAGAUAAGGGGGGGAUUAGUGUAACAUCACUAAUGAUUGACUUAAGGUUUAGUCAUUGGUUGGUACCACAAACUUGGCUGAUAAUAUUCUUUCUAAGGGAAAUGUGAUCAAUUCUUUGUGAUGUAGAGUUUAAGUCCACACUCUGGUAAAGAGUUUGAAUUUGCUGCCCUUAAGUACUACAUCACUGUAGUUCUGUGUGAUGUGUCCUGUACAAACAUGCAGAGUGAACAUCGUUCCUUGCCUUCUGCUUUCUUGAGCACUAAAAUACACAGUGUCAAUAUGCACAAACAUGUGGAAGGACAUAUAGACAAAUACAGCCUUAGCCAAGUCAUGAGAGAUGCAGCUGCAAGAAACAGGCUCAUGCAUAAUGAACAUUUAUGCUAUGGCAUAGCUUGUGUUUUUGCAUCGAUGAGCUGUGUGAAAAGGAAGGAACCUCACUUCAUUUUCAUUCAGUUAGAAUGAAGGCCCACUGGUCAGUUUUUUGACUCAGUUCAGCUGAUUGUUUUCAGAAUAAUCUGUUCUUUUCUAACAGUUGUGUGUAGGGACAGCCGCACUCUGAUGAAAUGACUGUGAGCCUAUAUGCUAACUACUGUACGAAUUUUCUGCCUAUAUUCACUAUGUACCCAGUGACCCUGCUGAUGAAUAUUUUAGACAUCUUCAUGAAUAAUGUGACUGCCCACAGGAGAGCUGCUUGCGUGUUUGUAAGGCUGGACAUGCUAUCAAGAUGAUACCGACUCCAAUUCUAUGUACUUGUGUGAAGAUAAUAAAAUACCUAAGUAAGGUUGUUGGUCAAGAUUGUCUUUGAGGAAUCAUGGAUGCUCUGAAAUUGGAUGCCAAAUUUUACAUGUGUGGAAAUUGACACAUUAUCAAGUAUAUGUAAGUACCAUACCAUUCCAACUUUACAUACCUCUCACCACCCCUACCGCACCUCACCUCCCUAAUAACACUUUUGGGACCAUGGCUGCUUCAAGAUCAGCUAACUUUUUCCUCAGUGAUUCGAUGCAGAAUCCUCAGUAAGUAGAGCAUUCCUUUUGAUGGCUUUACUAAUACCCAGAUCUCGUAGUUCUUUAAAUCCCUCAACUAAAAUGACCUUCAUCUUCCUUUCACUUUGGCUGUGCACACACAUGCCACACCUAAUAGAUCUGCUCCACUUUGAAUAUUUCAAACUCUAUUAGUCUUUGCUUUGAAAUAGCCUUCUAACUUCUACCUGCCCCAUCCAUGUUUCUUCUCAACCUGUCUUCUCUUCUACUGUUCCAUUUCUUGUUCUGUCCUUGUUUUCCAGUGUGGGAAGAUAGGGAAGGGAAGAGGCUGGCAACUCUCUUCAAAUCCCUGCUUCCGUACUCAGCCCACAACUAAUCAGAUGGUUCAGUAAUGAUUGUGCUUACCCUGCAGACUUCCUCACACAGUAUUCUUUGAGAAUUUCCAACUCAGGUUCUUUUCCUGUUUCCCCCCCACUCCCCCUUAUGUUCAGGCACCUGGGCAUUGUUAGUAAAUUUCAUAAAAACUGGGACAAUUGGAUCAAUAAAUGUAUGUAGAAUAAAGAAAUCUAUCAAAUCUUUUGCCAUCCAGGGGAGGGGAACCUUAGGACUGUGUUGAACUCAAAAAAAAAAAAAAAAAGGUCCAUAUUUCAUUUUAGUUACAUCUCAACUAGCUCUGCCUAUGUGAAUAUUUGUAUGUGUGUCACCUGAUAGUGGUCAGAAAUUUGGGUCCUUCAUACUUUUAUUUCUAUUAGAAAAUCAGCCUUUGUACCCAUUUUUUUUUCCUUACUGGUAUAGACUUGGUAAAAUCUUGAUAAAAUUUUUCUGCACAUAUUUACUCUGUUUGAGUUAGGAACUGAACUGUGUGAAUGCUUUUUCUUCUAAGCCAUGAGUGAUAUUUAUUUAUUUUAUUUUUGUCAGUUGUUUCCAUGGUUCAUGAAUUCUUUAUUAUAGUAGGAGUCAUCAAUUGGAUGGAGAAUCAUUGAAAUUGUAAGUUUAGGACAUUAGUUGGAAUAACCUGAACAAUGUGCUUACCUUUUGGGCCCUUAAUUUAAUUUAAAAUUAAAUGAGUCUUAUGAUGGCAAGCUUCACAGAUCUGCCUGCAGGGCUUUCAGAAUGGAAAUGUGCGUCUCUGUGUGUGGGAGGCUCUUUUGUUUAGUUGGAAAGACUAGGAAAUCUUUGCCUAAAAACCCUCAUUGUUUGGAGAGCAUAAAUAACUGAACAUAAUGUUAGUGAGAAGUUUCAUUUGAGAUUGAACCACUGACUUCCAAGAAUAUAGCAGUGAGUGGAAGUGCUAUGAACAAUGUCUUCCUUAUUUCCUUUAAAAUACCCAGGAAAUUGUCUUAAAAAAAACCCAAAUCCCCAGAAGUAACUACAAUGAGUGUCAGGCAUUGAGCCCAUUCUAGUUUCUGGAAGGAAUUUUACAUUCUUUCCUGUAGUUGAAAUCAGAUGGAGUUGCCGCUUCUUCACCAGGACCCCCAACCUGCAACCUGAUGCCUCCUCCUCACUUCCCUAUUUCAGCCACUAGUCAUGGAAUCCUGCUCCACACAUAUGGCUUGUUUCCCUUUUGUUCAUGUCCAGUGCUGCUGAGUGUUAGUUGAUUCUGUAACAGCUGCUAACAUGCUCCUUCUUUGACUUACGCAGCUUCUGGAUGGGGUGGAGGUGGUCCUCAUUGAACUGACUCCUGGUUCCCACUCAGGUUCUGGGCUGGUCUGUGACGUUAGGUGCUUGAAAGUCAAGAACCAGGAUUUACACCUGCUUCCAACCAUCCUUUGGCUCCACUUUGAACACAAAGGCAUCUGCAAAGACCUCUACGUUCAGUCACUAGUGUGGGAUUUUCUUAUCUCCUCCAUUAGACUGAGCUCCAUGAGGGUGGGGAAGGAAAAGAUGGGGGUGGGAGUAGCUUCCUUCUCAUUGAAUCCGCAACACCCAGAAUAGUACUUAGCACGUGUUGGGUACUGAAGACACGUGUCAAACUCAUUAAUGUAACUCAAUCAUUGGGAAGGACUUAAAAGCAGUCCUCAAGCAUGGUAAGCACUGAGGGCCAAGGUCAAACCAAGCCCAAGGAUGUAAAAAAGAAAUGAAAUCACAUAUUAUAGAUGAGUAAUUAAAACAAAAUUCUACAGCUCCAAAGCAAAGAAGUUAUAGAGAUCUAUAGCAAUAUCUUUCUGAAACAAUUUUGCUUUAUGAAACAGUUGUAAAAGCUCUGCUUUGUAAACUCAGUAAGAUACCUGAAGAGUUUACAUCUAGUAAAUGAGAAUUUUAAAAAGAAUAAAAUGAAAUGAAAAUUAUAGUAGAUAAAAUAAAUCUUCAUUGUAAUAAAAAGCUGACUGUACUUAGAAAAUUCAUCCAGUUGAUAUGGACAGGAGGCAGGGAAAUACUGGGUAAAAGAGGGUGGUUCCCUGGCAAAGGCCCCACUCUCAAGCCCAGAAACCCAUGGCCCUAAAUGGGAACAGGCAUUCCUGUUUUCACACCCAAAUGUUCUCUUUUGGCUGCACCUCUCUAUCCUGUACCCAUAUAAACCCCAGACCCUAGGCUCCACAAGUAGAAGAGCAGAGGAGCAGAAGAGCAGCAGAAGGACACGGCAGAGAAGGAGAGAAGAGAAGGAACAUCUCAACACUGAGAAGAGUUCAGCUAGGGAUGGCUGGAGAGGAGAUGGGCCAUGGGAUGGUCAUGUUCCCGCUCCAUCUCCUUUCCAGCUCCCCAUCCAUUCUGCUGAGAGCCAUCUCCAUCCAGCAAUAAAAUCCUCCGCAUUUACCGUCCUUCAGUUUGUCUGUGUGACCUGAUUCUUCCUGGACACAGGACAAAAUCUCAGGUACCAAGAGGGCACUGAGCUGGUUAACACUUAAACCGUCUGUGGACAGCAGAGCUAAAAGAACACUGUAGCACACCCACUGGGGCUUUGGGAGUCACAGGCACCCAGCCCUAGAUGCUACUGGGGGACCAGCUCCCAAAAGUGCUCUGCCCGGCUCCUGCACCUGCCCAUCUGUGUGCUCGCCCUCCCGUAAGGUGUUCGAGCAUGCAGCAGCCCAACAGACGAGCCACACUCCUGUUUCAUGUCUUGUGCAGGGGUUCAGGGAACUCUUUUGUUUCAUACUGAUCGAGGAUAGACUUCAAAAAAUUGCCCAGACUGCAGCAAAGAAGCCCGGAAAGACACAGAUCCAACCUAGAACUGAUGGGGAUUACUGUGGAAGACACAACAAAAUCCACUGUGAUAACUGUUGGAGGGACAUUUUUCAGUUCUAAAAGACCUGAUCUUGGGUACUGAUAUACCAUACCACAUUCCAGGUACACUUUCUCAUUAUAAAUCAACACUGAAAAAUAUUCAGAUUUUUUUUUAGCUAGAAAACUUGCAGGUAGAGUAAGGAAGUAUAAAAGUGCUAAAUUAUUUGUCCUUCAUUUAAAAGAGACUAAAGUGAUCUUUUGGGAUUAUGUUGAGAGUAGUUAAAUAGCAGCUGAAAGUUUAUUAAAAUUUAUUUAUUUAAAUUUAAUAGUUCAUUAAAAUUUAUUGAAAGUUUAUUAAAGUUAUAAAAAUAACUAAUAGAAGUAAAAAACAGGAUGCCUAUAAAAGUUAAUACAGAAAACAGAAUCAAAUAAAACACCAUAAUCUCAUCGGGCUACAGAGAAACGGAAUCGUUCUACUUUCUUUCUUUGUCUCUCAUUUACAUCUCCUUAGCACGUCCCAAAAGAUAUACUGAUAACUUCCAUAGGGACUUUUUUAGCCCACUAAAAGUUCUUUUGUCCCCCCAAAAGAGAUAGGGUUUUAAAUAUAUAUAUAUAUACAGUGUGUGUGUAUAUAUAUAUUUAUAUUUAGAUAGUAUAUCAUUAAUUUGACUCAUAAAAAUUAUAACAUUCCUUUCAAACAACUGUGUGAUAUAGGUAGACGAGAAUUUAGCACAUAAGAUAUUGCCUUAUCUUUUUGCAAAAAUAUGUAAUUCACCUGUCAUGGUGCAUGGUAGGCACUAAAGAAAUACUGUUGAAGGAAUGAAGACAUAUAUAACUUAACUAGCUGUAUACUUGGGAAAAUGUAAUUUCAUCUACAAACAAUAACUUUAUAAAUAAUUGAACUGUUUCUCACCCAUUAAAUUUACUGUGAAAUCUGGACAAACAUCUGUCAUGAUGUAAGCCAUGGAAGAAAUGUUGAGAUUAGCAUGCAGUAAUGAACAUGGUAGUAAAUGCUGGGGAAGGCAGAAAUUAGAAGAGACUUAAAUAAGUCCUAAUUUUUAGGUUCUCAAAAGGUUAAUUCGGAUUGUUCUGAAUGUCUUCAUAUCAGAGAGACUUGGCCAAUCUUUAAAAAAAAAAAAAAAAAAA
Cercocebus atys (sooty mangabey) is the source of this 10906-nucleotide long non-coding RNA. RefSeq lists it as uncharacterized. Lineage: Eukaryota; Metazoa; Chordata; Mammalia; Primates; Cercopithecidae. The record is from RefSeq and is a predicted model, not a curated record. The transcript has 2 exons.